GAACCAUGUGAUGAAAUUGGAGUGUCUAAUUCUCACGACGGUCAUCUGAUACUCGCUGAUGCAUACAGAUCCAAUGUUUCUGAUGGUU
Non-coding RNA from Thalictrum thalictroides, 88 nucleotides. NCBI's taxonomy places the organism in Eukaryota, Viridiplantae, Streptophyta, Magnoliopsida, Ranunculales, Ranunculaceae. The record is from the annotation of a GenBank genome assembly.